AGAGUUUGAUCCUGGCUCAGGAUGAACGCUGGCGGCGUGCCUAAUACAUGCAAGUCGAGCGAACGGACGAGAAGCUUGCUUCUCUGAUGUUAGCGGCGGACGGGUGAGUAACACGUGGAUAACCUACCUAUAAGACUGGAUAACUUCGGGAAACCGGAGCUAAUACCGGAUAAUAUUUUGAACCGCAUGGUUCAAAAGUGAAAGACGGUCUUACUGUCACUUAUAGAUGGAUCCGCGCUGCAUUAGCUAGUUGGUAAGGUAACGGCUUACCAAGGCAACGAUGCAUAGCCGACCUGAGAGGGUGAUCGGCCACACUGGAACUGAGACACGGUCCAGACUCCUACGGGAGGCAGCAGUAGGGAAUCUUCCGCAAUGGGCGAAAGCCUGACGGAGCAACGCCGCGUGAGUGAUGAAGGUCUUCGGAUCGUAAAACUCUGUUAUUAGGGAAGAACAUAUGUGUAAGUAACUGUGCACAUCUUGACGGUACCUAAUCAGAAAGCCACGGCUAACUACGUGCCAGCAGCCGCGGUAAUACGUAGGUGGCAAGCGUUAUCCGGAAUUAUUGGGCGUAAAGCGCGCGUAGGCGGUUUUUUAAGUCUGAUGUGAAAGCCCACGGCUCAACCGUGGAGGGUCAUUGGAAACUGGAAAACUUGAGUGCAGAAGAGGAAAGUGGAAUUCCAUGUGUAGCGGUGAAAUGCGCAGAGAUAUGGAGGAACACCAGUGGCGAAGGCGACUUUCUGGUCUGUAACUGACGCUGAUGUGCGAAAGCGUGGGGAUCAAACAGGAUUAGAUACCCUGGUAGUCCACGCCGUAAACGAUGAGUGCUAAGUGUUAGGGGGUUUCCGCCCCUUAGUGCUGCAGCUAACGCAUUAAGCACUCCGCCUGGGGAGUACGACCGCAAGGUUGAAACUCAAAGGAAUUGACGGGGACCCGCACAAGCGGUGGAGCAUGUGGUUUAAUUCGAAGCAACGCGAAGAACCUUACCAAAUCUUGACAUCCUUUGACAACUCUAGAGAUAGAGCUUUCCCCUUCGGGGGACAAAGUGACAGGUGGUGCAUGGUUGUCGUCAGCUCGUGUCGUGAGAUGUUGGGUUAAGUCCCGCAACGAGCGCAACCCUUAAGCUUAGUUGCCAUCAUUAAGUUGGGCACUCUAAGUUGACUGCCGGUGACAAACCGGAGGAAGGUGGGGAUGACGUCAAAUCAUCAUGCCCCUUAUGAUUUGGGCUACACACGUGCUACAAUGGACAAUACAAAGGGCAGCGAAACCGCGAGGUCAAGCAAAUCCCAUAAGUGUUCUCAUUCGGAUUGUAGUCUGCAACUCGACUACAUGAAGCUGGAAUCGCUAGUAAUCGUAGAUCAGCAUGCUACGGUGAAUACGUUCCCGGGUCUUGUACACACCGCCCGUCACACCACGAGAGUUUGUAACACCCGAAGCCGGUGGAGUAACCUUUUAGGAGCUAGCCGUCGAAGGUGGGACAAAUGAUUGGGGUGAAGUCGUAACAAGGUAGCCGUAUCGGAAGGUGCGGCUGGAUCACCUCCUUU
Molecule: ribosomal RNA, 1541 nt
Filed under: Staphylococcus aureus
Lineage: Bacteria; Bacillati; Bacillota; Bacilli; Caryophanales; Staphylococcaceae
Description: 16S ribosomal RNA
Rfam family: Bacterial small subunit ribosomal RNA
Source: RNAcentral